Olea europaea var. sylvestris is the source of this 3235-nucleotide RNA transcript. It is a transcript of the gene named E3 ubiquitin-protein ligase RING1-like, with no coding region annotated. NCBI's taxonomy places the organism in Eukaryota, Viridiplantae, Streptophyta, Magnoliopsida, Lamiales, Oleaceae. The transcript has 3 exons. The record is from RefSeq and is a predicted model, not a curated record.
AUCUAAAUGGCUCCUUAACGCGCUUUUCUCAAACUUCAUUUUUAUAUUGCCAAAGUUUUCUGUCUCUACACGUAAGCAUUUCUUUACCCAAUUAAAAUGUCGGCAGCGGAAGUUCCCGGCGGCGGCGGCGGCGGCGGAGGCGGCGGCGCACAACAAUAUUACUGCUACCAGUGUGAGCGCACCGUCACCAUCACUCCCCCGGCAUCGCCCACCACCGAGCUCGUUUGCCCCAAUUGCAACGGAGGCUUUCUUGAAGAAUCCGACACCGUACCGCCCUCAAACCCUACCAACCCUAAUGAUAACCCCAACCAAUUUUUCUCUGAAAGUUUCCCCUCAGCGCCCUUCAGUCGCCUUCCCAUUAGCUUCUCCUCAGCCACCGGCAACCCACGACGCGCCGCCUUUUCUGUCCGCGGUGGAGGUGGAGGAUUAAACGAUCUUUCUGCUUUGUUUGGAGGCUCCCGAUCCCCUGAUGAAUUUAACCCCUUCGCCUUUCUAGACCAGUACCUGAAUGGUCUCCAGGAGCGUGGUGCGAACGUUCAGCUUGUUUUUGAGGGGCCAGGUGGCGAAGGGAUGGGCCGUGGGGUUGAUUUUGGGCUACCUACGAAUCUCGGUGACUAUUUUUUUGGGCCGGGGUUGGAGCAACUGAUUCAGCAACUUGCAGAGAAUGAUCCCAACAGGUAUGGAACCCCACCUGCAUCAAAGUCUGCGGUGGAUGGAUUGCCAGAUAUAAAGAUAUCGGUUGAGUUAUUGGGAACAGAUUCAUCACAGUGCGCCGUGUGCAAAGACAGCUUUGAGUUAAACGAGGAAGCAAAGCAGAUGCCAUGUAAACAUAUCUACCAUAAAGAUUGUAUAUUUCCUUGGCUUGAGAUGCAUAAUUCUUGUCCAGUUUGUAGAUAUGAGUUACCAACUGAUGACCCAGAUUAUGAUCGAAGAACCAGGCAAGUGAAUGAUAAUAGCAGCAAUAGUAACAAUAUUAAUUUAGGCAUGGCCUCAGGCAGCGGAGAUCAGGAGAUUGGCGCUAACAAUAAUAAUCAAUUACCUAGAACAAUGGAAAGGGGGUUUAGGAUAUCACUGCCAUGGAUUUAUAGAGGGCUUGGUUCACCAGCAGAGACAAGCAACAUCGGAGGUGGAGCUGGCAGUAACCAAGGAGGGAGCAACAGCAACAAUGAUAAUAGUGGGGCAUCAAAUGCAGGCUCUGGAGGGGGAGCACAGGCUAGAGAGGAGGACCUGGACUAGAAGAAACAAAAGAGCCAAUGGACUGGACUACCUUGUCUUGGCCCUGCCCUCAGAUGGUCCAGGCCAAUGGGCUGAGAUGGACCCCAAAUUUUCACAUGAACUGGGCCCAACAUGGCUGGGCAUAAAAAGGGGUAUAGUCGGGCUGCUCCACACGCAUUUUGGAGGCCCGGCCUAUUUGACACCACUUUGCUAACCUAUUUUUUAGAGCCUAGCUAAAUAGCUCUGUGGUUGUCAAAUAUCAUUAUAUUUUGCAAUUUGUUCCUGAGUUGUGAUUGGUUAUAAACAUCUAUAGUUUAUUUUGGUUUGCAAAUUUCUUCCUUUGUUUUUAUUUUUAUUUUACUUUUCUUGUUUUGGUUAGGGUAGGGGGAAAGGAUGGUGGGUAAUUAAGUUUUCCUGUCAUUUUCAUGGAGGAAGUAACGGUUGGGGUUCAAGUUGUGGUUUAUGCAUUUGGUGCUCCUUCCAUUAUUGGGUACAUCUACUUAGAUUGUAAUCAGCUUACUGGUUCAUCAUGGGAUUUGAUUUGCUCAUUUUUGCUCGUUGGAAUUGCUUUUGGAAGGGAGUUGUGUUUUCAAAAUGUGAGUUUGACUGUUCUGAUGGUGGGUUUGACAAUAAUACCAAAGAAGAAACGAAAGAAAAAUGAUGAACAACUUUUACUUAGUCAAAUCACUGGUUUGAAUUGCAUUGUUUUUGGUUCAAUCCAUAUCCCUUCGCUUAUUCUGCCAUUCAGUUCAAAGAGGAAGAUUAGUUAGCUAACCAUUUGUAUAUAUCAAGUUGUGUCUUUAUUUCCUGCUGAAACGGAAUUCUGUAGCUCAUGUAGGAACAACUGGAUAAGGCUACUCUUGCCUCACGUGUGCACACGUGUAUGUGUGCAACAGUCAGAUGUCAAAAAUAUAUUAGUUUGUGACAGUUGUUCAAGGCACUUGGCCUCAGUAACCUUUCUGAGAAGUCAUUGACAUAAAUAAGAAACCUAAGAAUGCUAGACCUAAGAAACAAUAUACAAAGGAAUGGUGAACAAGGGUAGAAUCCGUCUUGUUUUUUCUUAUUACUGGAUAUUGCAGACCGUAAAUUUGUUAAGAAUCAUUUUGGUGUGUUUUAUCAUGUUGGAUUGCUCAGGUGCGAUUGUUUUAAAGAAACAAAUGUUAUUCAAGUUUUCCGGAAAGUGUUAAAUGUUAAUGAUUCUCUUGUUUGGCUAUGCAUGCUUGUUAUAAUUUCUCUGAAUUACUCUUUUUGGUAAUUUGGAUGGAUGGUAGCUUUAUUUAAGCAGCUUUUUUGCUUUUCAAGAACUCUUGUUUGUGCAAUUCAUGCAAUCCAUGUACACAUUUUGAUCUAAUAUUUCAAUUGUGUUUCAGCAGUAUUUGAUUAAAUUUUUGGUAUCAACUUGUUUUGGCAGGGGCAGGGAGGGAGGCAGGACACUGCAUCUGUUUGUAAAGAAAGGAUCUUUAUGUAAAAUAUAUUCAAAGGUGAUUAAAGUGGUAAUGUGAUGUCAAAGGCUAAUCAGUGGCGAAGCAUUCAGAGUUUACGGAUUGAUUAAGCUAUCCUUGGCCUGGGUCUUGACUAUUUUCUUAAAAAAAAAAAAGGGGUUGAACCCCAACUUUGAGGACCCCCCACCGUCCCAUCUCUAGAACUUUGUAAGGGAGAUAAAUCGCGGGAUGUGCCUUAACAUGUUAGGGAACAAGAGCUGCUUGUACACUGCACCUAUAAGGAGUCUAAUUCCAUGUCUCAGGAAUCGAACCUCCACACUUCGGCUACCAGCAAGGCAUGAAUAACUUCACUUCUGUCCUUUGCACCACUAGGCUAUGCCUGAGGGGCGGGUCUUGACUAUUUUCUUAUUUGGUCGAGAUGAGGUUAAUGUAUGCACUGUGUUGUGAAAAUUUUUUUAUUACAAGAUAACGAUAUAGUGAACAAGUAUUAAAGUGAACGUAUGAAUUCUAAUCAUCGUUCCUAGAAAGAUUACUAUUUAACUGAAGGUUUAACUAUUCAUAACUCCUAUUUCAAUAAA